RNAcentral lists this ribosomal RNA (1524 nucleotides) under Salmonella enterica subsp. enterica serovar Heidelberg. Its description in RNAcentral is "bacterial SSU rRNA". It matches the Rfam family "Bacterial small subunit ribosomal RNA". The record is from RNAcentral. Lineage: Bacteria; Pseudomonadati; Pseudomonadota; Gammaproteobacteria; Enterobacterales; Enterobacteriaceae.
AAAUUGAAGAGUUUGAUCAUGGCUCAGAUUGAACGCUGGCGGCAGGCCUAACACAUGCAAGUCGAACGGUAACAGGAAGCAGCUUGCUGCUUUGCUGACGAGUGGCGGACGGGUGAGUAAUGUCUGGGAAACUGCCUGAUGGAGGGGGAUAACUACUGGAAACGGUGGCUAAUACCGCAUAACGUCGCAAGACCAAAGAGGGGGACCUUCGGGCCUCUUGCCAUCAGAUGUGCCCAGAUGGGAUUAGCUUGUUGGUGAGGUAACGGCUCACCAAGGCGACGAUCCCUAGCUGGUCUGAGAGGAUGACCAGCCACACUGGAACUGAGACACGGUCCAGACUCCUACGGGAGGCAGCAGUGGGGAAUAUUGCACAAUGGGCGCAAGCCUGAUGCAGCCAUGCCGCGUGUAUGAAGAAGGCCUUCGGGUUGUAAAGUACUUUCAGCGGGGAGGAAGGUGUUGUGGUUAAUAACCGCAGCAAUUGACGUUACCCGCAGAAGAAGCACCGGCUAACUCCGUGCCAGCAGCCGCGGUAAUACGGAGGGUGCAAGCGUUAAUCGGAAUUACUGGGCGUAAAGCGCACGCAGGCGGUCUGUCAAGUCGGAUGUGAAAUCCCCGGGCUCAACCUGGGAACUGCAUUCGAAACUGGCAGGCUUGAGUCUUGUAGAGGGGGGUAGAAUUCCAGGUGUAGCGGUGAAAUGCGUAGAGAUCUGGAGGAAUACCGGUGGCGAAGGCGGCCCCCUGGACAAAGACUGACGCUCAGGUGCGAAAGCGUGGGGAGCAAACAGGAUUAGAUACCCUGGUAGUCCACGCCGUAAACGAUGUCUACUUGGAGGUUGUGCCCUUGAGGCGUGGCUUCCGGAGCUAACGCGUUAAGUAGACCGCCUGGGGAGUACGGCCGCAAGGUUAAAACUCAAAUGAAUUGACGGGGGCCCGCACAAGCGGUGGAGCAUGUGGUUUAAUUCGAUGCAACGCGAAGAACCUUACCUGGUCUUGACAUCCACAGAACUUUCCAGAGAUGGAUUGGUGCCUUCGGGAACUGUGAGACAGGUGCUGCAUGGCUGUCGUCAGCUCGUGUUGUGAAAUGUUGGGUUAAGUCCCGCAACGAGCGCAACCCUUAUCCUUUGUUGCCAGCGAUUCGGUCGGGAACUCAAAGGAGACUGCCAGUGAUAAACUGGAGGAAGGUGGGGAUGACGUCAAGUCAUCAUGGCCCUUACGACCAGGGCUACACACGUGCUACAAUGGCGCAUACAAAGAGAAGCGACCUCGCGAGAGCAAGCGGACCUCAUAAAGUGCGUCGUAGUCCGGAUUGGAGUCUGCAACUCGACUCCAUGAAGUCGGAAUCGCUAGUAAUCGUGGAUCAGAAUGCCACGGUGAAUACGUUCCCGGGCCUUGUACACACCGCCCGUCACACCAUGGGAGUGGGUUGCAAAAGAAGUAGGUAGCUUAACCUUCGGGAGGGCGCUUACCACUUUGUGAUUCAUGACUGGGGUGAAGUCGUAACAAGGUAACCGUAGGGGAACCUGC